AAAGGGUCCGCAGGCGGAUUUAUAAGUCAGUGGUGAAAUCCUAUCGCUUAACGAUAGAACUGCCAUUGAUACUGUAAGUCUUGAAUUCGGUCGGAGUGGGCGGAAUGUGUAGUGUAGCGGUGAAAUGCAUAGAUAUUACACAGAACACCGAUAGCGAAGGCAGCUCACUAGGCCUGAAUUGACGCUCAGGGACGAAAGCGUGGGGAGCAAACAGGAUUAGAUACCCGAGU
Molecule: ribosomal RNA, 230 nt
Filed under: uncultured bacterium
Lineage: Bacteria
Description: partial 16S ribosomal RNA
Rfam family: Bacterial small subunit ribosomal RNA
Source: RNAcentral